GACGAACGCUGGCGGCGUGCUUAACACAUGCAAGUCGAGCGGUAAGGCCCUUUCGGGGGUACACGAGCGGCGAACGGGUGAGUAACACGUGGGUGACCUGCCCUCAGCUCUGGGAUAAGCCUGGGAAACCGGGUCUAAUACUGGAUAUGACUCCAUGACGCAUGUUGUGGGGUGGAAAGCCUUGUGCGGCUGGAGGAUGGGCCCGCGGCCUAUCAGCUUGUUGGUGGGGUGANGGCCUACCAAGGCGACGACGGGUAGCCGGCCUGAGAGGGCGACCGGCCACACUGGGACUGAGACACGGCCCAGACUCCUACGGGAGGCAGCAGUGGGGAAUCUUGCGCAAUGGGCGAAAGCCUGACGCAGCGACGCCGCGUGAGGGAUGACGGCCUGGUGUAAC
RNAcentral lists this ribosomal RNA (397 nucleotides) under uncultured bacterium. Its description in RNAcentral is "bacterial SSU rRNA". It matches the Rfam family "Bacterial small subunit ribosomal RNA", at positions 28 to 429 of the family's 1533-position model. The record is from RNAcentral.